GCCGGAUUAGCUCAAUGGUAGAGCAAUUAUUUUGUAAGUAAUAGGUUAUAGGUUCGAAUCCUAUAUUCGGCU
This 72-nucleotide transfer RNA is filed under the name Thecamonas trahens. Its description in RNAcentral is "tRNA-Thr". It matches the Rfam family "tRNA". From Rfam's summary of the family: Transfer RNA (tRNA) molecules are approximately 80 nucleotides in length. The record is from RNAcentral. RNAcentral also lists the same sequence under 1 other name. Lineage: Eukaryota; Apusomonadida; Apusomonadidae.